AUCUGGAAGCAGAGCAAAGCAUCUGAGCCCAGUGCUCUCUGGUACUAGAUAACCAAGGACACUGAGCUCAAGAGCUCUGAGAAUGGCAGCACCCCCUAGACCACCAGUUCUACUUCCAGACCAAUACAGCUUCCAAAGCCAUUUUCCUGGGAAGCAACUUAUGUGGAGACUGGGGAUGUAACCUGGAAGUUGCUUCUAUGGACAGCACAGUCCCUCUUUCCUCAUUAACCAUGGGUAUUGAAGUAAAGAAAAGAAAGCUACUGAGUGGUGGAACAUGACUUCUCACAGGAGCUCAGGUACAAUGAAAAGAUGAAUGGGAAAGGAGGGAGACUCUCUCCAACCAAUGAAUGAAC
Molecule: long non-coding RNA, 353 nt
Filed under: Monodelphis domestica (gray short-tailed opossum)
Lineage: Eukaryota; Metazoa; Chordata; Mammalia; Didelphimorphia; Didelphidae
Description: lncRNA (ENSMODG00000045777.1)
Source: RNAcentral